UAGGGAAUCUUCCGCAAUGGGCGAAAGCCUGACGGAGCAACGCCGCGUGAGUGAUGAAGGUCUUCGGAUCGUAAAACUCUGUUAUUAGGGAAGAACAAAUGUGUAAGUAACUAUGCACGUCUUGACGGUACCUAAUCAGAAAGCCACGGCUAACUACGUGCCAGCAGCCGCGGUAUACGUAGGUGGCAAGCGUUAUCCGGAAUUAUUGGGCGUAAAGCGCGCGUAGGCGGUUUUUUAAGUCUGAUGUGAAAGCCCACGGCUCAACCGUGGAGGGUCAUUGGAAACUGGAAAACUUGAGUGCAGAAGAGGAAAGUGGAAUUCCAUGUGUAGCGGUGAAAUGCGCAGAGAUAUGGAGGAACACCAGUGGCGAAGGCGACUUUCUGGUCUGUAACUGACGCUGAUGUGCGAAAGCGUGGGGAUCAAACAGG
This 428-nucleotide ribosomal RNA is filed under the name Actinomycetes bacterium. Its description in RNAcentral is "Actinobacteria bacterium partial 16S ribosomal RNA". It matches the Rfam family "Bacterial small subunit ribosomal RNA", at positions 355 to 776 of the family's 1533-position model. Lineage: Bacteria; Bacillati; Actinomycetota; Actinomycetes. The record is from RNAcentral.